AUUGAACGCUGGCGGCAGGCCUAACACAUGCAAGUCGAGCGGAUGAAGGGAGCUUGCUCCUGGAUUCAGCGGCGGACGGGUGAGCAAUGCCUAGGAAUCUACCUGGUAGUGGGGGAUAACGUCCGGAAACGGGCGCUAAUACCGCAUACGUCCUGAGGGAGAAAGUGGGGGAUCUUCGGACCUCACGCUAUCAGAUGAGCCUAGGUCGGAUUAGCUAGUUGGUGGGGUAAAGGCCUACCAAGGCGACGAUCCGUAACUGGUCUGAGAGGAUGAUCAGUCACACUGGAACUGAGACACGGUCCAGACUCCUACGGGAGGCAGCAGUGGGGAAUAUUGGACAAUGGGCGAAAGCCUGAUCCAGCCAUGCCGCGUGUGUGAAGAAGGUCUUCGGAUUGUAAAGCACUUUAAGUUGGGAGGAAGGGCAGUAAGUUAAUACCUUGCUGUUUUGACGUUACCAACAGAAUAAGCACCGGCUAACUUCGUG
This 484-nucleotide ribosomal RNA is filed under the name uncultured bacterium. RNAcentral describes it as "partial 16S ribosomal RNA". It matches the Rfam family "Bacterial small subunit ribosomal RNA", at positions 30 to 507 of the family's 1533-position model. The record is from RNAcentral.